RNAcentral lists this ribosomal RNA (488 nucleotides) under uncultured bacterium. RNAcentral describes it as "partial 16S ribosomal RNA". It matches the Rfam family "Bacterial small subunit ribosomal RNA", at positions 28 to 507 of the family's 1533-position model. The record is from RNAcentral.
GACGAACGCUGGCGGCGUGCUUAACACAUGCAAGUCGAACGAAAAUACCAAGCUUGCUUGGUUGAUUAGUGGCGAACGGGUGAGUAACACGUGAGUAACCUGCCCCUUACUUUCCUGGAUAACUGCUCGAAAGGGUAGCUAAUACGGGAUAUUCUGACCAGCCUGCAUGGGUUGGUUUGGAAAGGUUGUUUUUCUGGUAAGGGAUGGGCUCGCGGCCUAUCAGCUUGUUGGUGGGGUGAUGGCCUACCAAGGCUUUGACGGGUAGCCGGCCUGAGAGGGUGGACGGUCACACGGGGACUGAGAUACGGCCCAGACUCCUACGGGAGGCAGCAGUGGGGAAUAUUGCACAAUGGGCGCAAGCCUGAUGCAGCGACGCCGCGUGAGGGAUGAAGGCCUUCGGGUUGUAAACCUCUUUCGUCAGGGAACAAGGCACUGCUUUUUUGGUGGUGUUGAGGGUACCUGGAUAAGAAGCGCCGGCUAACUACGUG